RNAcentral lists this ribosomal RNA (253 nucleotides) under uncultured bacterium. RNAcentral describes it as "partial 16S ribosomal RNA". It matches the Rfam family "Bacterial small subunit ribosomal RNA", at positions 524 to 776 of the family's 1533-position model. The record is from RNAcentral.
UACGUAGGGUGCGAGCGUUAAUCGGAAUUACUGGGCGUAAAGCGUGCGCAGGCGGUUCGCCAAGUCAGGUGUGAAAUCCCCGGGCUUAACCUGGGAAUUGCGCUUGAAACUAGCGGGCUUGAGUGCGGCAGAGGGGGGUGGAAUUCCACGUGUAGCAGUGAAAUGCGUAGAUAUGCGGAGGAACACCGAUGGCGAAGGCAAUCCCCUGGGCCUGCACUGACGCUCAUGCACGAAAGCGUGGGGAGCAAACAGG